CCUGAGCCGAAGGCAGAGGCUUAACCGACUGAGCCACCCAGGCAUCCCUGGGUGUGUUUUCCAAAGUGCCUUCAUAUACACUCUCUGAUCCGGUUCUGCAGGUUCCAACACAUGUGGAAGAGCCUGCCUUCCUCCCAGAUCCCAAUGAUGGCAGCCUGUAUACGCUUGGGGGCAAGAAUAAUGAAGGCCUGACG
Leptonychotes weddellii (Weddell seal) is the source of this 194-nucleotide non-coding RNA. The record is from RefSeq and is a predicted model, not a curated record. Lineage: Eukaryota; Metazoa; Chordata; Mammalia; Carnivora; Phocidae.